ACAGGUAAAUGCAUUGACAGUCAGAUCCUCACCUAAACCCUAGGCAGCCAGGGGAAUGCUGCUUCUCCUACUCUUUCAGUCUAUGGAAGAUUUACUUUCUUUUAAGAUUGCUGGGAGAUGCUCCAGGUGGCAUGACAGCUGAAGCGCGGGAGGGCAGAAGAGAGACACUGUUCGAAAAGGGCGAGGCUUUCCCAGGCUACUCUUGCAGCCAGGCAGAUGGCUCUGCACUCUCCCUGCCACUGUCCAGGCCAGAGAACAUGGGAUUCCUCACUGGGGGAACGCAGAGCUUCACAGAAAAGGUCUUCAGAGACUGAUACUGGGGAUUCUCCAUCAAAGGAGCCUUUUCCUUGACUGAUCACUCUCCAAAGAAGCCCACCGGUUGGCAAGCCUCCUUCGUGCAUUCGGGAGAGGUAUAAAAGACACAGGCACAUUCAUUUGCUUAUUUUUUUCAAUGUAAGUCUUCUUUCUGAAGAGAGGCAUAUUUUACAUUUCAUUCUCUGUCCACAGUCUAAAGAGAAACACCAAAUUUCUGUAUUACAACACUGGACAGAAAUUCACAUAAUAGCAAUUAGUCCUGAUUUAACUCUUCCUCCUAUCACUGUGAACAAAGUAACCAAGGUGGGCCGGGUGAGGUGGCUCACGCCUGUAAUCACAGCACUUUGGGAGGCUCAGGCAGGUGGAUUAUCUGAAGUCAGGAGGUGAUACCCCAUCUCUACUAAAAAAAAAAAAAAAAUACGGCUCUCUGCUCCUCCUGUUUGACAGACUGCCACGUCUGUCUCUCACCGCCAGCCGCAUCCCUGAGACACCAUGGGGAAGGUGAAGUUCGGAGUCAACGUUUCUGGUCGUAUUGGGCACCUGGUUACCAGGGCUGCUUUUAACUCUGGUAAAGUGGAUACUGUCGCCAUCAAUGACCCCUUCAUUGACCUCAAAUACAUGGUCUACAUGUUCCAGUAUGAUUCCACCCAUGGCAAAUUCCAUGGCACCGUCAAGCCUGAGAACAGGAAACUUGUCAUCAAUGGAAAUCCCAUCACCAUCUUCCAGGAGCGAGAUCCCUCCAAAAUCAAGUGGGGCAACACUGGUGCUGAGCACGUGGUGGAGUCCACUGGCAUCUUCACCACCAUGGAGAAGGCUGGGGCUCACUAGCAGGGGGGAACCAAAAGGGUCAUCACCUCUGCCCCAUCUGCUGAUGCCCCCAUGUUCAUGAUGGGCAUGAACCAUGAGAAGUAUGACCACAGCCUCAAGAUCAUCAGCAAUGCCUCUUGCACCACCAAUUGCUUAGUGCCCCUAGCCAAGGUUAUCAGUGACAACUUUCGUUAUCGUGGAAGGACUCAUGACCACCAUCUACGCCAUUACUGCCACCCAGAAGACUGUGGAUGGCCCCUCCAGGAAACUGUGGCAUGACGGCUGCGGGGCUCUCCAGAUCAUCCCUGCCUCUACUGGCACUACCAAGACCAUGGGCAAGGUCAUCCCUGAGCUGAACGGGAAGCUCACUGGCAUGGCCUUCUGUGUCCCCACUGUCAGUGUGUCAGUGGUGGACCUGACCUGCCGUCUGGAAAAAACUGCCAGAUAUGACGACAUCAAGAAGAUGGUGAAGCAAGCGUCAAAAGGCCCCCUCAAGGGCAUCCUGGGCUACACCUAGCACCAGGUGGUGUCCUCCGACUUCAACAGUGACACCCACUCUUCCACAUUCGAUGCUGGGGCUGGCAUUGCCCUCAACGACUACUUUGUCAAGCUCAUUUCCUGGUAUGACAAUGAAUCUGGCUACAGCAACAGGGUGGUGGACCUCAUGUCCUACAUGGCUUCUAAGGAGUAAGACCCCUGGACCACCAGCCCCAGUGAGAGCAGGAGAGGAAGACAGACCCUCACUGCUGGGAGUCCCUGCCACACUGAGUCCUCCACCACACUGAAUUGCCCCUCCUCACAGUUUCCAUGCAAACCCCUUGAAGAGGGAGGGGCCUGGGGAGCUCCACCUUGUCAUGUACCAUCAAUAAAGUCCCCUGUGCUCAGCCAAAAAAAAAAAAAAAAAAAAACCCAAACAAACAAAAAUUAGCCGGGCAUGCUAAUGCAUGCCUGU
RNA transcript from Sapajus apella (tufted capuchin), 2074 nucleotides. It is a transcript of the gene named glyceraldehyde-3-phosphate dehydrogenase pseudogene, with no coding region annotated. The record is from RefSeq and is a predicted model, not a curated record. Lineage: Eukaryota; Metazoa; Chordata; Mammalia; Primates; Cebidae. The transcript has a single exon.